This 703-nucleotide ribosomal RNA is filed under the name Lecithodendrium spathulatum. RNAcentral describes it as "eukaryotic LSU rRNA". It matches the Rfam family "Eukaryotic large subunit ribosomal RNA", at positions 73 to 656 of the family's 3401-position model. Lineage: Eukaryota; Metazoa; Platyhelminthes; Trematoda; Plagiorchiida; Lecithodendriidae. The record is from RNAcentral.
GAUUCCUUGGUACGGCGAGUGACCAGGGAAGAGCCCAGCACCGAAGACUGUGGCCAGUUGGCUACUAUUCAAUGUGGUGUUUAGGUUGUUCCGGCGGAGUCGCUGCUCCACCCUAAGUCCAUGAAUGAGUAUGGUAAAUGGACAUGGCCCACAGAGGGUGACAGGCCCGUGGGGGUGGAGAUCAGACAGGCCAGUGACGCCCUGGAUAGACCUUGGAGUCGGGUUGUUUGUGAUUGCACCCCAAAGUGGGUGGUAAACUCCAUCUAAGGCUAAAUACUAGCACGAGUCCGAUAGCAAACAAGUACCGUGAGGGAAAGUUGAAAAGUACUUUGAAGAGAGAGUAAACAGUGCGUGAAACCGAUCAGAGGUAAGCGGGUGGAGUUGAACUGCAAGCUCUGAAAAUUCAGCUGGUGAGUGUGGUUUGAGCUUGGUCAAGUCAGUUGGACUCUGUGGUCCGCGAGGCACUUAGCAAGUGUUGUGGUCCAUGGAUGUUCUUCGGGCUGACUCGCCGGUGCACUUUCUCAGAGUGGUCACCACGACCGGCAUGGCUGUCUGGCUGGUGGGGUUAAACCGGUUUUGCAAGGUCCUUGUGGCUCUGCUUGAUCGGGAUGGCAGGUAGCUCAUUGGCUUGCUUGCAGUUCGCUGUGAGCGUGGUCUUUGAGUGUAAUCAGCUGACCACAUCGGUUCUGUGCGGUAUGUCGGA